CUCAAAGAUUAAGCCAUGCAUGUAUCAGUACACGCCUUAACAAGGUGAAACCGCGAACGGCUCAUUACAACAGCUAUAAUCUACUCGAUCUUGACAAACUACUAGGAUAACUGUGGUAAUUCUAGAGCUAAUACUUGCACCGAAGCUGUUCCCUCACGGGGGCAGUGCAUUUAUUGGAGCAAAACCAGGCGGCUUCGGCCGUUUCUGCUGACUCAGAAUAACUAAGCUGACCGAAUGGGCUUGUCCCGUCGGCGUAUCGUUCGAGUGUCUGCCUUAUCAACUUUCGAUGGUAGUGUACGUGACUACCAUGGUUGUGACGGGUAACGGAGGAUAAGGGUUCGACUCCGGAGAAGGGGCCUGAGAAAUGGCCACUACGUCUAAGGAUGGCAGCAGGCGCGCAAAUUACCCACUCUCGGUUCGAGGAGGUAGUGACGAAAAAUAACAAGGCCGUUCUCUACGAGGCCGGCCAUUGGAAUGGGUACAACUCAAACCCUUUAACGAGUAUCAAUGAGAGGGCAAGUCUGGUGCCAGCAGCCGCGGUAAUUCCAGCUCUCAAAAUGCAUAGAACCAUUGCUGCGGUUAAAAAGCUCGUAGUUGGAUUUGUGCCGGCGCCGUGGUCCACCCUAACGGGCGGUACUGCGAGCGUCGGCUUUGGGCCGGUCUCCGGGCGGCGCACUUCACUGGGCGUCGUCCGUGGCUGGCUGGUUUACUUUGAGCAAAUCAGAGUGCUCAGCACAGGCGUCUCGCCGGAAUGUUCGUGCAUGGAAUAAUAGAACAGGAUCACGGUCCUCUUUUAUUGGUUUUGUGGACUGAGAUAAUGGUUAACAGAGACGAACGGGGGCAUUCGUAUUGCUGCGUGAGAGGUGAAAUUCUUGGACCGCAGCAGGACGGACUACAGCGAAAGCAUUUGCCAAGCGCGUCUUCA
Molecule: ribosomal RNA, 925 nt
Filed under: Hemicriconemoides sp. CB 984
Lineage: Eukaryota; Metazoa; Nematoda; Chromadorea; Rhabditida; Criconematidae
Description: SSU rRNA
Rfam family: Eukaryotic small subunit ribosomal RNA
Source: RNAcentral